RNAcentral lists this ribosomal RNA (430 nucleotides) under Pseudomonadota bacterium. RNAcentral describes it as "Proteobacteria bacterium partial 16S ribosomal RNA". It matches the Rfam family "Bacterial small subunit ribosomal RNA", at positions 355 to 776 of the family's 1533-position model. The record is from RNAcentral. Lineage: Bacteria; Pseudomonadati; Pseudomonadota.
UGGGGAAUAUUGGACAAUGGGGGGAACCCUGAUCCAGCCAUGCCGCGUGUGUGAAGAAGGCCUUAUGGUUGUAAAGCACUUUAAGCGAGGAGGAGGGUACUGGUAUUAAUACUACCAGGUACUGGACGUUACUCGCAGAAUAAGCACCGGCUAACUCUGUGCCAGCAGCCGCGGUAAUACAGAGGGUGCGAGCGUUAAUCGGAUUUACUGGGCGUAAAGCGUGCGUAGGCGGCUAAUUGAGUCGGAUGUGAAAUCCCCGAGCUUAACUUGGGAAUUGCAUUCGAUACUGGUUAGCUAGAGUGUGGGAGAGGAUGGUAGAAUUCCAGGUGUAGCGGUGAAAUGCGUAGAGAUCUGGAGGAAUACCGAUGGCGAAGGCAGCCAUCUGGCCUAACACUGACGCUGAGGUACGAAAGCAUGGGGUGCAAACAGG